GAUGAACGCUGGCGGCGUGCCUAAUACAUGCAAGUCGAGCGAACAGACGAGGAGCUUGCUCCUCUGACGUUAGCGGCGGACGGGUGAGUAACACGUGGAUAACCUACCUAUAAGACUGGGAUAACUUCGGGAACCCUGAGCUCAUACCGGAUAAUAUAUUGAACCGCAUGGUUCAAUAGUGAAAGACGGUUUUGCUGCCACUUAUAGAUGGAUCCGCGCCGCAUUAGCUAGUUGGUAAGGUAACGGCUUACCAAGGCAACGAUGCGUAGCCGACCUGAGAGGGUGAUCGGCCACACUGGAACUGAGACACGGUCCAGACUCCUACGGGAGGCAGCAGUAGGGAAUCUUCCGCAAUGGGCGAAAGCUUGACGGAGCAACGCCGCGUGAGUGAUGAAGGUCUUCGGAUCGUAAAACUCUGUUAGUAGGGAAGAACAAAUGUGUAAGUAACUAUGCACGUCUUGACGGUACCUAAACAGAAAGCCACGGCUAACUACGUG
This 497-nucleotide ribosomal RNA is filed under the name uncultured bacterium. RNAcentral's name for it is "partial 16S ribosomal RNA". It matches the Rfam family "Bacterial small subunit ribosomal RNA", at positions 28 to 507 of the family's 1533-position model. The record is from RNAcentral.